AUUUAAAUAGUUUAAAAAAAAUUUUGAUUUGUGGUAUCAAAGAUAUAUAAUUAUAUUUUAAAUC
Molecule: transfer RNA, 64 nt
Filed under: Micropygomyia cayennensis
Lineage: Eukaryota; Metazoa; Arthropoda; Insecta; Diptera; Psychodidae
Description: tRNA-His
Source: RNAcentral